RNAcentral lists this transfer RNA (71 nucleotides) under Ipomoea nil (Japanese morning glory). It matches the Rfam family "tRNA". Rfam says of the family: Transfer RNA (tRNA) molecules are approximately 80 nucleotides in length. Their secondary structure includes four short double-helical elements and three loops (D, anti-codon, and T loops). Further hydrogen bonds mediate the characteristic L-shaped molecular structure. tRNAs have two regions of fundamental functional importance: the anti-codon, which is responsible for specific mRNA codon recognition, and the 3' end, to which the tRNAs corresponding amino acid is attached (by aminoacyl-tRNA synthetases). tRNAs cope with the degeneracy of the genetic code in two manners: having more than one tRNA (with a specific anti-codon) for a particular amino acid; and 'wobble' base-pairing, i.e. permitting non-standard base-pairing at the 3rd anti-codon position. Lineage: Eukaryota; Viridiplantae; Streptophyta; Magnoliopsida; Solanales; Convolvulaceae. The record is from Rfam by way of RNAcentral.
GCACAUUUAGUGUAGUGGUAUCAUAGUAUCCUCCAACGGUAUUGACCGGGGCGCAAUUCCCCGAAUGCGCA